GGAGUGAAAAAGAACCUGAAACCGUGUACGUACAAGCAGUGGGAGCACCCUUCGGGGUGUGACUGCGUACCUUUUGUAUAAUGGGUCAGCGACUUAUAUUCUGUAGCAAGGUUAACCGUAUAGGGGAGCCGGAGGGAAACCGAGUCUUAACCGGGCGUUAAGUUGCAGGGUAUAGACCCGAAACCCGGUGAUCUAGCCAUGGGCAGGUUGAAGGUUGGGUAACACUAACUGGAGGACCGAACCGACUAAUGUUGAAAAAUUAGCGGAUGACCUGUGGCUGGGGGUGAAAGGCCAAUCAAACCGGGAGAUAGCUGGUUCUCCCCGAAAGCUAUUUAGGUAGCGCCUCGUGAAUUCAUCUCCGGGGGUAGAGCACUGUUUCGGCUAGGGGGCCAUCCCGGCUUACCAACCCGAUGCAAACUGCGAAUACCGGAGAAUGUUAUCACGGGAGACACACGGCGGGUGCUAACGUCCGUCGUGAAGAGGGAAACAACCCAGACCGCCAGCUAAGGUCCCAAAGUCAUGGUUAAGUGGGAAACGAUGUGGGAAGGCCCAGACAGCCAGGAUGUUGGCUUAGAAGCAGCCAUCAUUUAAAGAAAGCGUAAUAGCUCACUGGUCGAGUCGGCCUGCGCGGAAGAUGUAACGGGGCUAAACCAUGCACCGAAGCUGCGGCAGCGAACGUAUCACCCAAGACAACUUUACGGAGUUGACGAUUGACGGAGCGAAGCGACGUCAAAGCGUUCAUUAAAGUCGAGUUGGCUUAGGGAUACGUUCGUUGGGUAGGGGAGCGUUCUGUAAGCCUGUGAAGGUGUGUCGUGAGGCAUGCUGGAGGUAUCAGAAGUGCGAAUGCUGACAUAAGUAACGAUAAAGCGGGUGAAAAGCCCGCUCGCCGGAAGACCAAGGGUUCCUGUCCAACGUUAAUCGGGGCAGGGUGAGUCGACCCCUAAGGCGAGGCCGAAAGGCGUAGUCGAUGGGAAACGGGUUAAUAUUCCCGUACUUGGUGUUACUGCGAAGGGGGGACGGAGAAGGCUAUGUUGGCCGGGCGACGGUUGUCCCGGUUUAAGCGUGUAGGUGUGUGUUCCAGGUAAAUCCGGUUCACUUUAACACUGAGGCGUGACGACGAGGCACUACGGUGCUGAAGCAACAAAUGCCCUGCUUCCAGGAAAAGCCUCUAAGCAUCAGGUAACACGAAAUCGUACCCCAAACCGACACAGGUGGUCAGGUAGAGAAUACCAAGGCGCUUGAGAGAACUCGGGUGAAGGAACUAGGCAAAAUGGUGCCGUAACUUCGGGAGAAGGCACGCUGACACGUAGGUGAAGUGAUUUACUCAUGGAGCUGAAGUCAGUCGAAGAUACCAGCUGGCUGCAACUGUUUAUUAAAAACACAGCACUGUGCAAACACGAAAGUGGACGUAUACGGUGUGACGCCUGCCCGGUGCCGGAA
Molecule: ribosomal RNA, 1440 nt
Filed under: Salmonella enterica subsp. enterica serovar Typhimurium
Lineage: Bacteria; Pseudomonadati; Pseudomonadota; Gammaproteobacteria; Enterobacterales; Enterobacteriaceae
Description: partial 23S ribosomal RNA
Rfam family: Bacterial large subunit ribosomal RNA
Source: RNAcentral